UACGGAGGGUGCAAGCGUUAAUCGGAAUUACUGGGCGUAAAGCGCACGCAGGUGGCUGAGUCAGUCGAUUGUGAAAGCCCUGGGCUUAACCUGGGAAUUGCAGUCGAUACUACUCAGCUAGAGUAUGGGAGAGGGCAGUGGAAUUCCCGGUGUAGCGGUGAAAUGCGUAGAUAUCGGGAGGAACAUCAGUGGCGAAGGCGGCUGCCUGGCCCAAUACUGACGCUCAUGUGCGAAAGCGUGGGGAGCAAACAGG
This 253-nucleotide ribosomal RNA is filed under the name uncultured bacterium. Its description in RNAcentral is "partial 16S ribosomal RNA". It matches the Rfam family "Bacterial small subunit ribosomal RNA", at positions 524 to 776 of the family's 1533-position model. The record is from RNAcentral.